Molecule: long non-coding RNA, 667 nt
Filed under: Carica papaya (papaya)
Lineage: Eukaryota; Viridiplantae; Streptophyta; Magnoliopsida; Brassicales; Caricaceae
Description: long non-coding RNA (CPAP_LNC011427)
Source: RNAcentral
UGGGAAUCGGGAAGGGCCUCAUCGGAGGCAUUUUGUAAAAUUUCCCGCGGCAGCGCUUUCGGGCUUCGCCAGUGUUUUUUGGCCAAUUGGCCAGUUUUUUUACUCCAAUUUGGCUAUGUGUGAGCUUAAAAUUGAAUUUCGUGCAAAAAGAAAAGUUUUUACCUUUUUUUGCGGUCGGAAAGGGUUCCAGUGCGGCGGCGGGUAGCGGCGGUCUGCUCUCUGACGGCUAGGUUGUCUUCUUCGGCGAGGGGGUCUGGAGCUAGGGUUAGGGUUUGGUGCGGAUGAAGGUUAUUUAUAUCCGUCCGCUUUUGAUCCAGGUCGUCCAUCGCGUUUGAUCUAGAUCGUCUGAUUGCGAUUAAAUAAGGAGCGAAUUUGGACCGUUCAUCGCGAUCCAAUCUGAGCCAUCCAUUGUGAUCCACUAUAGGUCGUUCGAUCGCAUUUGAAUCUGGCAGUUCGAUCGCAUUUGGGAGGGAGCGCAUCUAGGUCGUCCGUGUGCGCGGGAACGGACCUAGAUCGUUUGAUUGCGGGCACGCAAAUUGCCCGCGUGGCACCGCGUCAGGGUCCGUUGUCACGUGACGCGUUUUGGUUCGUGGGGGCUGCUAACCGGAUGUUCUAUGUGGCAGAACUUCUCUAAAUUGCACUUUGAUUCUUAGUUUUUGAUUUUUUU